RNA transcript from Entelurus aequoreus (snake pipefish), 4361 nucleotides. It is a transcript of the gene named cyclin-dependent kinase 17-like, with no coding region annotated. The transcript has 7 exons. The record is from RefSeq and is a predicted model, not a curated record. Lineage: Eukaryota; Metazoa; Chordata; Actinopteri; Syngnathiformes; Syngnathidae.
AUUUUGAGGGUGUAUGACGAGCAGGGUGUGUGUUACAGGGGUGUUGGCUGCAUAUUUUACGAGAUGGCUGCAGGUCGGCCUCUGUUCCCCGGCUCCACAGUAGAGGACGAGCUCCACCUGAUCUUCAGGUUACUAGGCACACCCACGGAAGACAACUGGCCAGGAAUAUCUUCCAUGGAGGAGUUCAAGUCCUACAAUUUCCCCAAAUACAAACCUCAGCCCUUCAUCAACCAUGCUCCCAGGCUGGAUGGUGAAGGCAUGGAGCUCUUAUUGGCCUUCCUCAGAUAUGAAUCCAAGAAGAGGAUCUCAGCUGAGGAGGCCAUGAAACAAUCCUACUUCAGGCAUCUUGGGAUGAGAGUUCACACACUGUCUGAGAGUGUGUCCAUCUUCACAUUGAAGGAGGUUCAGCUGCAGAGAGAUCCGGGCUACAGGAACUCUUCAUACCUGGAGUCAGGUAACAGCAAGGUCAACCGGCGACAGAGCAUGCUCUUCUAACCAGGAGGAAGGACACCCUCAUCAUCAUUAUCAGCGACCUCUCUAGCAUGACCCCUCCUCACGGUCUUAGUGGGUUUCUGUUGGACUGUUCUGGUUGAAGUGAGGAGUUUUAGGACCACAACAAAUAAUAAUAAGAUAAUUAGUGAAGUGAGGAGUUUUAGGACCACAACAAAUAAUAAUAAGAUAAUUAGGAGGUAAAGAAGACAAAAGCCAUAAUACUACAAGAAGUACUUUGUAAAAAGGAAAGAUUCUUCCUGACUAUUUUUGUAGUAUGACUAUUUUACUCAUCCUGUUGGCACUUUAUAUUCCCAACUUCUUUCCUACAAUAUUGCACUAUUUUCUUUAUUUUCCAUAUUCUGACUUCCAAAAUAUUGUUCCUCAGAAUAUUUGGACUUUUCUCUGAAAACAUUCACAUUUUUUUACCACACUGCAACUUUUCAUUUGAAAGAAAUCAAGCAAGCAUUUGUGCUAAGAUGAUGUUUCUCUGCUUAAGUGCAGUUUUUGACAUCCAAAUGUUUAGUCUUUAUUCUCCUCCUCACAAUAAUAAGACGUCACUUUCCACACAUUUGACAUCUUUUCUUGUAAUCUUGUGACUUCACUCUCAUACAAUUUUCAAUGUUUUUAAUGACAUUUGAAUUGUUUUUAUUACGUUUGUAUUCUCUUUUUAAACAUCUUUAUUGCACAAUUACUCUAAAAAUGACAGUUUACUUAUUUAUUUAGUUUUUAUUCCAACAUUUUUUAAAAUAAAAAUAUAACUAUUUCCUGGUAAAGUGAUGACUUUAUUCUUGUACUAUACUACACAUCUUUUCUCGUACUAUUAGGACUUCUUUCACACUUUAAAUGAUAAUAUUGCUAUUUUUCUCAUAAUAUUGCAGCUUUUUUCAUCAAACUGUUGUGACUUUUUGCUACAUUUUUCUCAAUCUAUUAAGACUUUGUUUUUUUACAUUAGAAUUAUUUUUUGUAAUAUUGUGACUCCCAUUUUUUUAUAAUACUAAAUUGUUUUGUUAUCAAAUUAGGUUUUUUUUCAUCUCAAUAUUGCUGUUUUAUUCUCAUGUAAAAAAAAAAAGGUCCAUGUCUUUAAAAAUGACAUCAUUCUCCCUGUAAUAGUAGGAUUUAUUUUCUACCAUACAGACAAAAUAUUCCAAGUUUUUUCUUAAUAAUAAUGUGACUUAUUCCUGGUAAUAUUGUGACCUUAUUGCUGUAAUAUUUGACUUAUCUUUCCUCAUACUAUUAUGACUUUAUUUCCCUAAAAUGAUGACUUUUUCCACAGAGAAUUCUACUUUUUACAACUUAUUUUAGUUUUAUAAAAAAAUAUUUUUCUCUCCAAUGAAAUUAUUGUUAACUAAUUUUGAUAACGUUCCAACUUUUUCUAAUAUUAUUGCAACUUUACUCCCGAAAAAAAUUGAACUUUUUCCCCAGAAUAUUUCAACUUUUUACCUGCUAAUUGUGGACUUAACUCUCUAUCAUUUGGACUUUGUUUGAUACAUCUAUGAUGUAUUUCUAUAAUAGAGGUGUUAUUAGUGUGGCCCUAAUACUCCUUUUGUUUGGUACAUCUAUGAUGUAUUUCUAUAAUAGAGGUGUUAUAAGUGUGGCCCUAAUACUCCUUUUGUUUGGUACAUCUAUGAUGUAUUUCUAUAAUAGAGGUGUUAUAAGUGUGGCCCUAAUACUCCUUUUGUUUGGUACAUCUAUGAUGUAUUUCUAUAAUAGAGGUGUUAUAAGUGUGGCCCUAAUACUCCUCGCUCCGGCACAGUCUGGCGAGCAAAAGCCAGGAUGUUUUUGUGAGGCUGGCAGGAAAAGGAGGCAGAAAGCAAAAGGAAGUGAUGUAAAUAUUUGACUAGAAAGUUGCUGUGGUGUUAACUUGCACUUUGUGUGUACCUGACAGUAUUAAAGGUGUGUUGUGUGGCCUGGCUUGAAGGGGAGGAGCGGGGCUUGUCCACCUGGCCUGAUGUUUGACUUACAUUCUACAUGUCGGUCUUCAUUUGUGUCUUUAUGAUGAAAGAGUCUACUUUUAUGUCACACAAUUUUUGCUUUGGAUUUUGUCAACUAAUUUUUUUUUUUUACGUCAGAUGAAGCUGACAAAUUCAUUGCAAAAACAAAUUGUUGGCAAAAUGCGUCUUUAAAAAGUCCGUGUUCUAGAGUUGAGUGUAUAAAAUUUGCGUUUAAAAAUUAUGUUUUAAAAAAAAUGAAGUGUUUUAAAAUGAAGUGUUUGCACAUCAAUUUUUUCUUUUGAAUUGAGUGUGUAAAAUACAAGUUUUUUUAAAGUCAGUACCGUAAUUUCCGGACUAUAAGCCGCUACUUUUUACCCUCGUUCUGGUCCCUGCGGCUUAUACAAGGGUGCGGCUUAUAUACGGCCUGUUCUUCUCCGACACCGACGAAGAGGAUUUCGGUGGUUUUAGUACGCAGGAGGAAGACGAUGACACAAUGAUUAAAGACUGACUUAGGCUGGUUAUUUUGAUAACGUACAUGCGAGCACUUUGUAUUACUUUGCACCGUUGUAUUAUUUGUACUCUGCACGAAUGCUGUUCGCCACGUCAAAGAUGUGAAAGUUUGAUUGAAUGAUUGAAAGAUUUAUUGUUAAUAAAUGGGACGCUUUGCGUUCCCAAACAGUCAUCUCUGUCCCGACAAUCCCCUCCGUGGUAGCAGGAACCCCUAUAUACUACGCUAAUUACACAUCAAAACCCUGCGGCUUAUAGUCGGGUGCGGCUUAUAUAUGGAGCAAUCUGUAUUUUACCCUAAAUUUAGCUGGUGCGGCUUAUAGUCAGGUGCGGCUUAUAGUCCGGAAAUUACGGUAUAUCAAAAUAUUUUUUUUCUUAGUUCAGUGUGUAAAAAUGGUUUUAAAAAGCAGUUUUAAAAUUCAAUGUAUGAAAAGUUUGUAUUUUAAAAUUCAGCGUGUAAAAAUAUAUUUCAAAUUUAGUGUUCUAAAAUUCACUGUAUAAAAACAGUUUUAAAAAAAAAGUGUUUUAAAAUUCAGUGUUUUAAAAAUGUUUUUUUUAAAUUCAGUACAUAAAAAAGUUUUUAAAAAGUAGUGUUUUAAAAUUUAGUCUAUGAACAUUUUGUAUUUUAAAAUUUAGUGUGUAAAAAUCACUUUUAAUUCAGUGUGUAAACAUAUGUGUGUAUAUAUAUAUUUAUUUUUAAAAACAUUUCUAAUUCAGUGUUUUAAAAUUCAGUGUACACAUUUUUUGUAUUAAAUGUUUUAAAAAAACGUUUUAAAAUUCAGUGUAUAAUAUCUUAGUAUUUAAAAAUGUGAUGUUUAAAAUUUCAGUGUUUUAAAAUUCAGUGUAAAAAAAUCAGUGCAGAAAAAUUGGCUGCUUCAAAAGUCCAAACCCAUUUCAGAGAAUUUACAAGCCCUGCUGUCCCAGAAGCAGCCAAUGAGGUGUCAACUUUGAAGUCACGUGACAUCCUUGCUUUAAAAGCAGCAUGAAUUGUUUCACGUUGAAUUUUUUCACACUGAAUUUUUAAAAAAGACUGCAUUUUUAUGCACAUAUUUUCUUUCUACACAAACACAAAACAUUGCGUUCCAUCAAUUGAGUGUGGAAAAAAGCAAUAAAGACACAAAUGAAGCUGCAGCGUUGUGUUUGUGUAGCGAGGCAGAGAGAGACUCCAGUAGCACAGAAUGAUGUCAUGAUGUAAUGAUGUAAUGAUGUAAUGAUGUAAUGACUACUACUUUACACUGAGUACCGCUUUUCUACAAAGAAAUCACUUCUUCACAACUAAGUGUUGAGACUCCAUCUUAACUACCUGCAUGCUUUCUUAUUUAGCAGUGGAAAACACUUACACACUUGUGUGUGUGCGUGUGUGUGUGUGUGUGUGUGUGUGUGUGUGUGUGUGUGUGUGUGUGUGUGUGUGUGUGUGUGUGUGUGUGUGUG